This is a long non-coding RNA of Oncorhynchus masou masou (cherry salmon), 3484 nucleotides long. RefSeq lists it as uncharacterized. The record is from RefSeq and is a predicted model, not a curated record. NCBI's taxonomy places the organism in Eukaryota, Metazoa, Chordata, Actinopteri, Salmoniformes, Salmonidae. The transcript has 3 exons.
CGAGGUGCAACAUCACAACAUUUCCGGAAACGCUUGUGAAGCAGACAAGGUCGGGAUUUUAUUAGUAAAUGAGAGGAGUUAACAUUUCUUCCAUGGUUAAUUUUAUCGAAAUCUAAAGAGUUCCAUCAGUGCAGCUGUUUGGGAUGGAUUAAGGGGCAGAGGAGCGGUUGGUGCCCUUCAGCAGCUGGAAGUGCAACAAUGAAAGCCCGGAGUUGAAGAGAGAACCUGGGAGGCACAUCAGGGUGAGUCAUCGCACCGACAAAUUACCACAUCGCCCCCUCAUCAUCCCUCAGUAAAGUGCAGAACUAACCUGCGGUGUGUAUGCACUCUGCUCCCUUUCUGCCUCCUAAUGUUCCCCUGAGCUAAGUAGUUCUCAUGCAAAGUAGUCAGACUUAGAGGAGACUUUACAUUCACAUUUUUUUUACUCCCAACAUUCACUGACAUUCCAACACACACAUACAUAUAUACAGUACACACACACACACAACAUAUGCUCACACACACCAAACUGACACAGAUGCAUACUGACGCCCCAAACACACACACACACACACACACACACACACACACACACACACACACACACACACACACACACACACGCACACACGCACACGCACACACACACAUUUCACAGUAAAGUCUACACCUGUUGUAUUCAGCGCAUGUGACAAAUAACAUUUGAUUUAACGGUUUUCCCUGAUGUGGCCACUAGAUGGCACUGUAGGCCUACUCCACCUAGCCACAACAGUAGAAACAUAAUCUGUGGCGACAAAUCAUCAGUAUUGAGGGGUAUUCCAGAGGACUAUUCCAGAAAACCGGAUUAGUGAUUUAGCGAAAUGUGCCAAAACCGAAUUUGUGAAAACUUUCCAGGCUCCAGAAAGAGAGCCUGGUCAGAAACCAUAGCAACGGAUGCUCUGAAUCAAACCUGCUACCUACUACGUCAACUUGAUUUUAGCCUGUCCGGUGAAUAAAUAAAUAUAAGACCUGUCCGCCAAUCAGAUUCUUGUUCAUCACUACCGCCUAUCCCUUCUUGGAAAAUCCACUUGACAUCGGAGCCUGAAUUGUUCGCCGGGCUCUCCAGUGGGAACAAACUAUUGGACCUAGAAUACAUCCUUUAGACCAUAAAGAAUUCGGAAUUAUUUUUCCGCACAGUCACUAAUAUAUCUGGUCAAUUUACUCAACCCAUACCAAAUGUAACUCAACGCGGUUUCACUACGACUGCUAUACAAACUCUGUGUAUGUUUUUCCACUGGAAGUUUCCUGUACAAUUUUUAUUUUUUUAUUUUACUAGGCAAGUCAGUUAAGAACAAAUUCUUAUUUUCAAUGACAGCCUAGGACCAGUGGGUUAACUGCCUGUUCAGGGCCAGAACAACAGAUUUGUACCUUGUCAGCUCGGGGAUUCGAACUUGCAACCUUUCGGUUACUAGUCCAACGCUCUAACCACUAGGCUACCCUGCCGUGGGCGAUGGUCAACUAUUUGGCAAGGCAACUGUGUGUAGAACCGUAAAAAGAGUCUACAUCGCAUUGAAUAUAUAUUUGUAUGUAUUUGUUGCAUUCCCUGGCCAUCAAGCUGUCCAUAUAAUAAUCAAUGAGGACUUUUACAGAAUUGCAGGUAUAGUAGGCUGUGAUAGGUUGACUGCCAGUGAUGCUUUGUUAACCUCAAAUUAAUAAAGCUAAGCAACAUAAUAAACAUGAUAAAUAGCCAAAUUCAUCCCGCAGAUUUUCCAAACGUCAUUGGUGCUAUAGGUGGGGCACAUAUCCUCCAUUCAAAGACCAUUCUAGACCAAAAUGAAGGGGAGAAAAUCAAUUCACAGCAUAAACAAACAGGUAGCUAGCUAUUGAAUACUGUAGCCUACACAAAUCAAAUCAUUUUCAUAAACAGUCAUGAAAUUAAAUGAUCUUCCUUCUUUUGUCAGAUGAUCUGUGACCCCCAUUGGGUUAUAACUGAACAGAGAACUCAUUGUUGCCCAUGUUGUCAUGAAAAGCACUAUGAAUUCAAUAAAUUAUUAUUAAUCCUACAUUAGGCUAUGAAAUAGACCUGCAAUUGUGACAUGGGCUACAACAACUUCCACAUUAGGCCAAAGCCUUGACACUUAAUAUCACCAGCGGUCCAAUAAAAGUGCUCUAUAAAGUGCAAAGUGUUGUUACUAAUCAGCCAUGUGUGUGAGCUAGGCCUAUUAGACAUUGGAAUUGUGUCACUACACUUGGCCAAGCUCUGUCUGCAAUUUUCUGCCAGGCUCCCUCUAUGGCUUUUGCAGCAGUGGAUGUAUUACUUGUUUUCAUAAAUAUAUGAACAUAUUCGUUGUAUGUUCUUACAACUGUUUCUUGUUGUAGACGUGAAAUACUGGGCUCUGUCUUUUGACUCCGUAUCCAUAGUUUUUUCUGUCGUCGACUUGAGGACCUUUUUUAUGUUGCGUGCACAUGCCAGAUCAACCAAUCUGUGCUCCACUUAGCCUAACAACUUAAAUGAGAAGCAUCUGUUCUGGAACCAAGGAUUCCUGGACUCCCUCAUCUGGUUAACACAAGCCAGACAUGUUCAGGGAACCCUGAAUUUGUUAAACCAUCUUUCUGAAAUACUAAUACCCCUCUGAACUAGAGUCAGGAUGUGCCUGUAGUGUCAUACCUUGACCACUGGGGGCCCAAGUCCUUCCACUGUCAAAGUACAGUAUGUUGCCAUCAUGAGCACGUUCCCCUGCCCAGGCAUUGUUGAAUCAUGCCAGAUCUCACCAUGCCUGGAUAGGUAUUUUACUUAUCAGCUAACCACACAACAAUCUGGUGCUCAACAUCAAAGUCGUUGACGUGGCACGCAACCAUUGGUUGAUGAAUGCAACGUCUAGCCAGGGGAACAGGAUUCUGAUCAUGCUGCAGUGGCAGUGCAUAUCUGUCAUUCAUUGUCUAUCCUCCAUAAUACUCUUACCAUGCCUUUUCUUCUUAAAAUAAACCCUUGUAUGUUUGGCAUGUAUGUUCUGCAUUGAAAGGCUUUAGGUGUUUCAACAUCCUGUUUGACUAAGUCACGUUUUGUAUGGGUCACCCCCACACUGACAGCUCCUUAAACCUUCAAUAGUUGCUAUGUUCGCUAGGAAUAUGCAGAAAGUAAACAGGGAGUGGAGGCAUAUGGAAGGAAGGCACAUUUCUGAUCUACAGCAACAAUGCCACGUGUGUAUGAUGUUUGGAAUGUUCAGAAUGCUGAGUGCACAGGCUGACGCGCAACAUGGCAAAGAGUAGAACAGAGAGUGUAACAAGUGCUCCUCAUCCAUUCUGUCUAUCUUAAUCAUAUGAAACAUAUCCACAGCUAAAAUGAACAUAAAUACGUCUAGAAAUAAGACUAAUAAGCUUUAAUAAUGGUAAUAUAUGUUUUAAAACAAAAUAAAAAAACAUUAUGUGAAAGGUUAUAAUUAAAGUAAACCUUUUAUUUUGUAGGAAACAACGAAGGCAACUAAAAAUCUGUACAUUCUGUAUAAAACAACAUUAAAAAAAACAA